Molecule: ribosomal RNA, 775 nt
Filed under: uncultured Neocallimastigales
Lineage: Eukaryota; Fungi; Neocallimastigomycota; Neocallimastigomycetes; Neocallimastigales
Description: partial large subunit ribosomal RNA
Rfam family: Eukaryotic large subunit ribosomal RNA
Source: RNAcentral
GUACACGCUGUGACUAGCAUAUCAAUAAGCGGAGGAAAAGGAAACUAACAAGGAUUCCCCUAGUAACGGCGAGUGAAGCGGGAAGAGCUCAAAUUUGAAAUCUUAAAGGGUUUCCCUUUACGAAUUGUAGUUUAAAGAAGUGUUUUCUGUUGAGGUUUUGGUAAAAGUUCUUUGGAAUAGGACAUCAUAGAGGGUGAGAAUCCCGUAUUUGACCUUUACUUUCAACUUUGUGAUACACAUUCAAAGAGUCGGAUUGUUUGGGAAUGCAGUCCAAAAUGGGUGGUAAAUUUCAUCUAAAGCUAAAUAUUGGCGAGAGACCGAUAGCGAACAAGUACCGUGAGGGAAAGAUGAAAAGAACUUUGAAAAGAGAGUUAAACAGUACGUGAAAUUGUCAAAAGGGAAGCGUUUGACACCAGUGUUGUUUUUCUGAAAAUCAAUUAAAGAACUGUUUAUGCUAAGUUGUUUAGACUUUAUCAGCUAACUGUUUAGUUUUGAGCUUUUCUUUAAUGCACUUUUCAGUUAACAAGUCAACAUCAAUUUCUUUUGCUGUAAAAAAGCUUGAGGAAGGUGGCUUGAGAUUCGUCUUAAGUGUUUAUAGCCUCUUGCCUAUGCAGUCGGAGAGAUUGAGGUCUGCAGCGUAGAUCCUUCGGGGCUAAAUGCAUUUGUGCUAAGUUAUAGCAUUUUAUAGACAACUUGUUGACUAUGAUUCGUCUUGUAGCUUACUCGCUUAUGUUAUUUUACCUACGCUUAGGAUGUUGAGUCGUAGAGCACGCAG